RNAcentral lists this small nuclear RNA (173 nucleotides) under Mesitornis unicolor (brown roatelo). Its description in RNAcentral is "U2 spliceosomal RNA". It matches the Rfam family "U2 spliceosomal RNA". From Rfam's summary of the family: U2 is a small nuclear RNA (snRNA) component of the spliceosome (involved in pre-mRNA splicing). Complementary binding between U2 snRNA (in an area lying towards the 5' end but 3' to hairpin I) and the branchpoint sequence (BPS) of the intron results the bulging out of an unpaired adenosine, on the BPS, which initiates a nucleophilic attack at the intronic 5' splice site, thus starting the first of two transesterification reactions that mediate splicing. Lineage: Eukaryota; Metazoa; Chordata; Aves; Mesitornithiformes; Mesitornithidae. The record is from Rfam by way of RNAcentral.
AUCGCUUCUCAGCCUUUUUGCUCCGAUCAAGUGUAGUAUCUGUGAUUCUGAUCCAGUGCAAUCACUAGAAUGAUUCUUUGAAAAUCACAGAUAUCAAUUUUAUUUAGAGAUCUGAUAUCUUUUGAAAGUGACUUAAAUAUUGAAACAUUUUAAAUAUUUGAGUCUCAAACUAU